UUUUAGCCCGGAUAAUAGUGAAAAGCCCGGAGCGGAAAAAACCUGUCUUUUGCCGGCAUAAAAAAGCGACUGCAGGAAGCUUAUUUUAUGGCGUGCAAAAACUGUUUUUUUGCGAGGACUUGAAACGGAUAGCCGGAAUAGCU
RNAcentral lists this unclassified non-coding RNA (143 nucleotides) under Flavobacterium noncentrifugens. Its description in RNAcentral is "Flavo-1 RNA". Lineage: Bacteria; Pseudomonadati; Bacteroidota; Flavobacteriia; Flavobacteriales; Flavobacteriaceae. The record is from RNAcentral.